GUUUGGAAACGGAUGAGACAGCUCUCGCUUGGAGAGAGAAAUCGGCGCUUGACGAAACCGCUCGGCGUUGAGGAUGCCUCAUCGAGGAACUGGACCCGUUUUAAAGAGGUGAUUUGCAGCAAAGUUACGAAGAGAAUAUAUUCUGUGCCGAACUCAUACAUGGAGCAGUGCGAUUUUUAUUGUUAUUAAUAAAGACUACUGUACCCCUCCU
Molecule: long non-coding RNA, 211 nt
Organism: Ornithodoros turicata
Lineage: Eukaryota; Metazoa; Arthropoda; Arachnida; Ixodida; Argasidae
Exons: 2
Source: RefSeq, a predicted model, not a curated record